GUGAAUCAUCGAAUCUUUGAACGCAUAUUGCACUCUCUGGUAUUCCGGAGAGUAUGCCUAUUCGAGGGUCAUUUGUAAUAAUAUAAAUUCCAAGAUUUUUCGGAUUUUAAAAUGGGUAGUCGAUUUUUUGCGGUAGCCUAAUAUCCAAGACAAGCUCAUUUUCUUGGGUUGCGUGAUAUUUUCAGUUACCUCGUGACUUAACCAGGAAUCAUAGGGCGAUUUAUGAAUUUUGCAAGAGAUAAAAAAUUCCAUAGAUUCAGAUCAUGCGAAAUAGAAAUCGG
RNAcentral lists this unclassified non-coding RNA (281 nucleotides) under Archaeospora ecuadoriana. Its description in RNAcentral is "partial contains 5.8S ribosomal RNA and internal transcribed spacer 2". The stretch from base 1 to 71 matches the Rfam family "5.8S ribosomal RNA", at positions 84 to 154 of the family's 154-position model. Lineage: Eukaryota; Fungi; Glomeromycota; Glomeromycetes; Archaeosporales; Archaeosporaceae. The record is from RNAcentral.